Molecule: ribosomal RNA, 253 nt
Filed under: uncultured bacterium
Lineage: Bacteria
Description: partial 16S ribosomal RNA
Rfam family: Bacterial small subunit ribosomal RNA
Source: RNAcentral
UACAGAGGUCUCAAGCGUUGUUCGGAUUCAUUGGGCGUAAAGGGUGCGUAGGCGGCGCGGUAAGUCGGGUGUGAAAUCUCGGGGCUUAACUCCGAAACUGCAUUCGAUACUGCCGUGCUUGAGGACUGGAGAGGAGACUGGAAUUUACGGUGUAGCGGUGAAAUGCGUAGAUAUCGUAAGGAAGACCAGUGGCGAAGGCGGGUCUCUGGACAGUUCCUGACGCUGAGGCGCGAAGGUCAGGGGAGCAAACGGG